GUGCUCGAUUUAUUAUUUAGUGGUACUCAUAAAAGCAAGUGAGUUGUUCAUCAUAACUUUCAUAGCAAUCUUAGCAGGUAGGAAUGAGGAGGUUAACAGAAUUAUGAUGUAUGAGGAAAGCCAUGGAUAGCAUAAAAUUUAUGGAAUCAGUAUACUCUAAACUAAUGAAAUAUAAUGAAAAUAACAAGAACUAUAGAACAUAUAGUAAACAUGAUCAACUAAGCCAUCAGAUCCAACACAUUAGAUUACAAGAAAGUCAGUUUGUUAAAGUUCCUUGCCACUUUACAACUCAAGUUAUUCACUUCAUGGAACAAUUAGAAAGGCAGUAAGGAAACAAAAUAAAAAGAUUGCAUAUAUAAGAGGCCAAAUAUUAUUUAAUGCCCUCAAAUGAAAAAACUAAACAUGAGGAUGGUUUAAGGACAGGACUGUGUCAAGUACCAUUAUGCAAGUAUGACUCCAAUGAACACAGUAUUAUGUAGGAAUGAUGAAAUGUCAUUUGAAGGAUAGGCUGCAAAGUAAUAUCAAAGCAGCUAAACUGAUGACUGCCCUAGCAUGAAAAUAUUAUAAAAAAUAAUAAUAGAAUUCAUUGGAAUGAAGCCAAAGUAAUAAGUACUUGUAAAACUUAGAAGUUGCAAUUAAAGAAAUAAUGGAAAUCACGAAAAGAAAACAUAAAGGCAAUAUAAUUAAUGAUAGACCAACAAAAGAAUUUUACAGUGCAUGGAUCUACACAACAAAAAAUUAUUGAAUCAAUUUUAG
This 756-nucleotide long non-coding RNA is filed under the name Androctonus crassicauda. The record is from RNAcentral. Lineage: Eukaryota; Metazoa; Arthropoda; Arachnida; Scorpiones; Buthidae.